Molecule: ribosomal RNA, 468 nt
Filed under: uncultured bacterium
Lineage: Bacteria
Description: partial 16S ribosomal RNA
Rfam family: Bacterial small subunit ribosomal RNA
Source: RNAcentral
GACGAACGCUGGCGGCGUGCUUAACACAUGCAAGUCGAACGGAAAGGCCCUGCUUUUGUGGGGUGCUCGAGUGGCGAACGGGUGAGUAACACGUGAGUAACCUGCCCUUGACUUUGGGAUAACUUCAGGAAACUGGGGCUAAUACCGGAUAGGAGCUCCUGCUGCAUGGUGGGGGUUGGAAAGUUUCGGCGGUUGGGGAUGGACUCGCGGCUUAUCAGCUUGCUGGUGGGGUAGUGGCUUACCAAGGCUUUGACGGGUAGCCGGCCUGAGAGGGUGACCGGCCACAUUAGGACUGAGGGACGGCCCAGACUCCUACGGGAGGCAGCAGUGGGGAAUAUUGCACAAUGGGCGGAAGCCUGAUGCAGCAACGCCGCGUGCGGGAUGACGGCCUUCGGGGUGUAAACCGCUUUCGCCUGUGACGAAGCGUGAGUGACGGUAAUGGGUAAAGAAGCACCGGCUAACUACGUG